UGGGGAAUAUUGGGCAAUGGACGCAAGUCUGACCCAGCGACGCCGCGUGAGGGAUGAAGGCCUUCGGGUUGUAAACCUCUUUCAGUAGGGAAGAAGCGAAAGUGACGGUACCUACAAAAGAAGCACCGGCUAACUAUGUGCCAGCAGCCGCGGUAAUACAUAGGGUGCAGGCGUUAAUCGGAAUUACUGGGCGUAAAGCGUGCGCAGGCGGUUUCUUAAGUCAGAUGUGAAAUCCCCGGGCUUAACCAGGGAACUGCGUUUGAAACUGGGAGACUUGAGUGUGGCAGAGGGGGGCGGAAUUCCACGUGUAGCAGUGAAAUGCGUAGAUAUGUGGAGGAAUACCAAUGGCGAAGGCAGCCCCCUGGGAUAACACUGACGCUCAUGCACGAAAGCGUGGGGAGCAAACAGG
This 409-nucleotide ribosomal RNA is filed under the name uncultured bacterium. RNAcentral describes it as "bacterial SSU rRNA". It matches the Rfam family "Bacterial small subunit ribosomal RNA", at positions 355 to 776 of the family's 1533-position model. The record is from RNAcentral.